This 392-nucleotide ribosomal RNA is filed under the name uncultured bacterium. RNAcentral describes it as "bacterial SSU rRNA". It matches the Rfam family "Bacterial small subunit ribosomal RNA", at positions 505 to 898 of the family's 1533-position model. The record is from RNAcentral.
GUGUCAGCCGCCGCGGUAAUACGGAGGGGGCAAACGUUGUUCGGAUUUAUUGGGUGUAAAGGGUAUGUAGGCGGGCUUGUAAGUCGGAUGUGAAAUACUAUAGCUUAACUAUAGAACUGCAUUCGAAACUGCUUGUCUUGAGUUUGGGAGAGGAGAGUGGAAUUCUCGGUGUAAGGGUGAAAUCUGUAGAUAUCGAGAGGAACACCAGUGGCGAAAGCGACUCUCUGGACCAAAACUGACGCUGAAAUACGAAAGCUAGGGGAGCAAACAGGAUUAGAUACCCUGGUAGUCCUAGCCGUAAACGAUGAUCACUUGGUGCUGGGUCCUUAGGGCUCAGUGCCGAAGUUAACACAUUAAGUGAUCCACCUGGGGACUACGGCCGCAAGGUUGAA